Ruditapes philippinarum (Manila clam) is the source of this 1276-nucleotide long non-coding RNA. RefSeq lists it as uncharacterized. The record is from RefSeq and is a predicted model, not a curated record. NCBI's taxonomy places the organism in Eukaryota, Metazoa, Mollusca, Bivalvia, Venerida, Veneridae. The transcript has 3 exons.
CAUUUUUACCCUAUUAGAAAAAAUGUCUCGACAACAGACACAAAUAUUGGACACUGUUCAUUAGGUAUUUGGCGUCUUGUCAAAGUUGGAAAGUCAAGAUGGUGGUAGACCAAAUGAAUUGCCUGAUGAUAUUCAUUUACUAGUAACAAGCAUUGAAGAACUGGAGUUGGUUGAGACAGGUUUACAAGAACCUGGUUGUUUCAAUGGCUUGGUCACAUACCUGACACUGCAAGGAGGUAUCACAAGAAGCGAUAUGUCAAAAAGAGUCAUGAAACACUGCAUGUCAAAUCAGUUGGCACUUCAGUUCAACUGGUUUGGCAAGAAAGGCCAAGGGAAGAGAGCGUUUGGGAAACUGAAGCUGGCCAAGGCAGUGCAAAAAGCAGUCAUGAAAUGUAAAAAAUGUACAGCAGCUGAAGUCAAAUUAGAUUGUAGAGAAUGGUUUCAAAGUGCAUGUGACAGAGACGGGGGCCGUAAAAGAAGACAAAAAACCAAUGAAGGUGUCCAAGAAACACCCACUGAAUAGAACUUUUUAAUAUAUUUAUAGCGAUAUUGAAAGAAAAAAGAUGGCUCUUUUAAAUUGGAAGUAAUGUAAAGGACUUGUAUCAUUCUAGCCUAAUAGUUCAAGAACAUAUAGCCUAAGAAGAAUAAAUCAUACAUAAAUAGUGAUAUAGUUAAACUAAACAUUAUUGAGAUAUAUUUAAGAAACAAUAUCAGUUUCUGUGUUGUUCAUCGGCUAUUUAAAAUCAGCUUAAGCUUGUGUGUCAGGCAGGAUUAUAUAUAUUGUGCUUACAUCGUUGCUGGAUUAAUGAUUCUUCAGCCCCUGACCAGUUUAAAGUGACGCCAUUCUGGCACUUGUAUGAGCAAGCUGCAUACUUGGGAUGACGUUUUUAUGGUGCUUACGAGUUCGCGUCAAUUUGUCUUAUAAAACUUAUAUCAAUCUGUUGGGUCGGUGAAUGUGAGAUGUUACUUUAGCAUCAUAUGAAAAGAAGAAAAAAAGUGAACUGAAAACAUCAGAAAAAGUGCAUUAUUAUUUUUGCCGUAAAAAGAAUUUGAAAACUAUUUUAUUGAGGGAGAAAAAAAAACAGCGGCAUAUUUGUGUAGUCCAUAAUCAGUGCUUAUUGGAAGUUUAUGCCGUUAAAAUCCUUCUUUGUUAUAGAAACAAAAUCUCAAGGAGUGUUAGAUUUACAUAAGAUGUACAUAUUGUUAUUGUUUUUACUCAUUCAGUAUUUCAAUCGCACAUAUCAAAUAUUGAGAUUAUGGUCAUAGCUUCAUGAUA